ACAAUGGGCGCAAGCUGAUGCAGCGACGCGCGUGGGGGAUGACGGCCUUCGGGUUGUAAACCCCUUUCGGCAGGGACGAAGCUUUUGUGACGGUACCUGCAUAAGAAGCACCGGCUAACUACGUGCCAGCAGCCGCGGUAA
This 141-nucleotide ribosomal RNA is filed under the name uncultured eubacterium A8-B1. Its description in RNAcentral is "partial 16S ribosomal RNA". It matches the Rfam family "Bacterial small subunit ribosomal RNA", at positions 368 to 523 of the family's 1533-position model. RNAcentral also lists the same sequence under 1 other name. The record is from RNAcentral.